GCUCCGUAGGUGAACCUGCGGAGGGAUCAUUACAGAGUUCAUGCCCUACCGGGUAGAUCUCCCACCCUAUGUUAUUACUACUUUGUUGCUUUGGCGGGCCGUUAGGCUCCGGCCCGACUACCGGCCCCGGCUGGUAAGCGCCCGCCAGAGGACCCAAAACCCUGAAUAUUAGUGUCGUCUGAGUACUAUAUAAUAGUUAAAACUUUCAACAACGGAUCUCUUGGUUCUGGCAUCGAUGAAGAACGAAGC
This 249-nucleotide unclassified non-coding RNA is filed under the name plant metagenome. Its description in RNAcentral is "partial contains small subunit ribosomal RNA, internal transcribed spacer 1, and 5.8S ribosomal RNA". The stretch from base 201 to 249 matches the Rfam family "5.8S ribosomal RNA", at positions 1 to 49 of the family's 154-position model. The record is from RNAcentral.